AGCUUUGCGCAGUGGCAAUAUCGUAGCCGAUGAGGUUAAUCUGAAGCGCGAUUAUUGCUAAUUGAAAACUUUUCCUUUGGGAGCGCAGAGAGCCAUGCCUUGAAAUGCCUCUUCCUGUCAAAUACAGGUGUAUUUCAUAUAUUCCUGGGAGAUUUUUUUAUGAAGGAAAU
This 170-nucleotide small nuclear RNA is filed under the name Pelodiscus sinensis (Chinese soft-shelled turtle). RNAcentral describes it as "U4 spliceosomal RNA (ENSPSIG00000019739.1)". The stretch from base 1 to 133 matches the Rfam family "U4 spliceosomal RNA". From Rfam's summary of the family: U4 small nuclear RNA (U4 snRNA) is a component of the major U2-dependent spliceosome. The structure of U4 snRNA from yeast and human has been reported. The record is from RNAcentral. Lineage: Eukaryota; Metazoa; Chordata; Testudines; Trionychidae.